UGCACCACCAACUGUGAUUGAUCUUUUUAAAGAGUGCCAUUGUAGCAACAAGACUGGUUUUGCUGAGCCUGUAAAGGAAGCAAUUGACACAAUGGAAUCACUUGUGGGUGGACAUGGAGUAGAAGGGAAAGAAUCCAAGACCCCUAUAGAAGCAGUUGCUCAAGUGUUGGCUUCAUCAAAAUUUCUUCAAAAUAUUGGUCUUGUACCUGCCACAAAGAAAAGCGGCAAUGGUGGUGAUCCUACACGUGUGGCAGACCUUGAGGCAGAACUUGAAUCAGAGAAGCAAAAUACUUUAGAAGUUAGAGCUCAGUUAGAUGCCCUCAAGAAGAAGGUAGAAGAAUCAGAACGAGCAAGGGAUAAGGAGUUAGAAAAGAUUAAUGAUCUGCAAAAAGGAGCAGAUGAGACCAAUGCUCUCCUUCGUCGUCUCUUUAGCCUCAAUAAGUAGUUGGUCGAUUCAUUUUUGUGUGGCCCUUUGCUACUAUAUGACCCUUAUUUUAUUUUUCUUUUGGUACUAUCCUUUGUAGCUAGUGUAAUGAAAACAUGGC
RNAcentral lists this unclassified non-coding RNA (545 nucleotides) under Zea mays. RNAcentral's name for it is "misc RNA Zm00001eb057950". The record is from RNAcentral. Lineage: Eukaryota; Viridiplantae; Streptophyta; Magnoliopsida; Poales; Poaceae.